Molecule: ribosomal RNA, 484 nt
Filed under: uncultured bacterium
Lineage: Bacteria
Description: partial 16S ribosomal RNA
Rfam family: Bacterial small subunit ribosomal RNA
Source: RNAcentral
AUUGAACGCUGGCGGCAUGCUUUACACAUGCAAGUCGAACGGUAACAGGGUGCUUGCACCGCUGACGAGUGGCGAACGGGUGAGUAAUGCAUCGGAAUGUACCGUGUAAUGGGGGAUAGCUCGGCGAAAGCCGGAUUAAUACCGCAUACGCCCUGAGGGGGAAAGUGGGGGACCGAAAGGCCUCACGUUAUACGAGCAGCCGAUGUCUGAUUAGCUAGUUGGUGAGGUAAAGGCUCACCAAGGCGUCGAUCAGUAGCGGGUCUGAGAGGAUGAUCCGCCACACUGGGACUGAGACACGGCCCAGACUCCUACGGGAGGCAGCAGUGGGGAAUUUUGGACAAUGGACGCAAGCCUGAUCCAGCCAUGCCGCGUGUCUGAAGAAGGCCUUCGGGUUGUAAAGGACUUUUGUCCGGGAGCAAAUCCUAGUGGUUAAUAACCGCUGGGUCUGAGAGUACCGGAAGAAUAAGCACCGGCUAACUACGUG